Molecule: ribosomal RNA, 488 nt
Filed under: uncultured bacterium
Lineage: Bacteria
Description: partial 16S ribosomal RNA
Rfam family: Bacterial small subunit ribosomal RNA
Source: RNAcentral
UGAACGCUGGCGGCAGGCCUAACACAUGCAAGUCGAGCGGUAACAGGAAGCAGCUUGCUGCUUUGCUGACGAGUGGCGGACGGGUGAGUAAUGUCUGGGAAACUGCCCGAUGGAGGGGGAUAACUACUGGAAACGGUAGCUAAUACCGCAUAACGUCGCAAGACCAAAGAGGGGGACCUUAGGGCCUCUUGCCAUCGGAUGUGCCCAGAUGGGAUUAGCUAGUAGGUGGGGUAACGGCUCACCUAGGCGACGAUCCCUAGCUGGUCUGAGAGGAUGACCAGCCACACUGGAACUGAGACACGGUCCAGACUCCUACGGGAGGCAGCAGUGGGGAAUAUUGCACAAUGGGCGCAAGCCUGAUGCAGCCAUGCCGCGUGUAUGAAGAAGGCCUUCGGGUUGUAAAGUACUUUCAGCGGGGAGGAAGGGAGUAAAGUUAAUACCUUUGCUCAUUGACGUUACCCGCAGAAGAAGCACCGGCUAACUCCGUG